This 30-nucleotide non-coding RNA is filed under the name Rattus norvegicus (Norway rat). The record is from RNAcentral. Lineage: Eukaryota; Metazoa; Chordata; Mammalia; Rodentia; Muridae.
UGUUCAUUAUGGAUCAGCCAUGGGUGUGCC